Molecule: long non-coding RNA, 2373 nt
Organism: Triticum dicoccoides
Lineage: Eukaryota; Viridiplantae; Streptophyta; Magnoliopsida; Poales; Poaceae
Exons: 2
Source: RefSeq, a predicted model, not a curated record
AGACAAAGCGAUAAGGUUCCAUAUCCCUUGUCUCUCUCGCGUCGUUCCCCACGGAAGCAACCGCCGCUGCCGCUAUGGCUCGCUGCCGGCCAUGCCGCCGCUGGGGAGGUUCCUCGCCGGUGGAGGAGACCACCGCAUGUACGUAGAGUACGCGGGCGCCGGUUCCGCGCUCCGGCCGUGGCGAGCCGGCGGAGGUCGGGGAAGAUGCUGCGGGCAAGGCCAAGACGCCACGCUGGACGGAUCAGUGGCUCGAAGCACCAGUUGUGCGUGGCGAGGCCAAGGCCAAGCCGCAUCAGUAGGGGAGCAAGCGUGUAGCAUGUCCCCGUCGUGCAUCAAGGCUGCAGCAUAAGCCGUGCGCAGCGAAAGGGCGUCCCGUGGCCAAGCAAAGGGCCGAUAGCUGUGGCCGUGGCCGCGCCCGCGCCGCAAAGAGCACUGUCGGUCCUUGGGCCGCCGCGUGCUCUCCGCGUAGGGAGCCGCGACAGUGGGCGCCGCCGUCGAGGUCCACAGAGCGGCAUGCGCCAGUGCGACCCGAGAGUCACCUCUGCUCGCGCUCGAGCGUUGGGCCACGCCGGAGCCGAGGGCUGUGGCCCGAGAACGCCGCUGCACGCGCGGGCUGCUCCGUAUAACAUCGCCUUGUCGAGUCGAAUUGGAAUUCACGAGAAGAUAGGCCGAGGGCUGUGCCUGAUGGAUGCAACGGCCGCAUCAUUCUGCGCAAGAUGAUGCAUGUCAAAAGCCGUGAGAGGCCGGUGGACAGAUCUGUAGGGCUGCGUUCCCGAUCUGGUUGGCAUCGCUGCCGCUGCAGAGAUGUUGCCGUCCGCGCCGGCCACCGGGCGAGUCGCUCAGCAAAGAGCGUGCUGAUAACGUGUUCGAGGUAAUUGCAAGAGGCAAAUGACAAGUAGUAGAAUAGUUGUUCUCAUUGAUGAUGGGAUUACACAUAUAUAUAUAUAGCCCUCGAAGGGGUACGUCCGAAGGGACACGAGACAACCGCCUCAAUUAGGAAAAGCAGAGAUUAAUAGGAUUAAUUAAAUCGUAACACUUCCCCUAAUCUAUGCUUUUUAGCAACAUAUCAAACACCUAUCUCCUCAUAUUUUUUCCACAGGGUUUUUGGAGGAGCUUCUUAAGAUGAUGAUACUUACGUUAACAAGCAUGAAUUAAGGGGAGUGUUAGGAUUUAAUUAAUUUUAUUAAUCCUUGCUUUUCCUAAUUGAGGCGGUUGUCUCGUGUCCCUUCGGACGUACCCCUUUGAGGGCUAUAUAUAUGUGUAAUCCUAUCAUCAAUGAGAACAACUAUUUUACUACUUGUCAUUUGCCUCUUGCAAUUACUUCGAACAAGAUUGAUGGGAGACACGUACUCCUGUUAACCCCUUCCGUGAGAUUUUGUCCGUAACUCUAGGAUUUUCAAAAAUAAAUCGACGACUCUCCGUAACAUGUGUACGCCACGUCGAUAUAGCUCUCGCAUGGCGUUGGGAAGUCAUGCGUGCCCGCCGUCGCCUGGCUGUUGACUGGGCCGACUCAGAAUUGGGCUGUUGGGCAGUGGCCCAAGCCUCUCAAUUCUCGGUUAGGUGGUUUAUAAAUCUGCCAACAUUUUUUGGAAAAGUGCAAACAAUUUUUCAUAAUUUAGAUUUUUUCGGAAACACUAGCAUUUUAAAAAUUCGUAUUUUCUUUUGGAAAUGUGAAUAGUUAAUCAAAAAUCGAACAUUUUUUAAAAAUGUGUUUUUUUGAAAAUGUGACAAUUUUUCACAAUGCCGAACAUUUUCUCAAAGCAUGAAUUUUGUAAAAAAAUUGAACAUUUUUUAGGACACAAUUUUUUUCAUGACUUUUCAGUAACAUUUUUGAAAAUUCUGAACAAAUUUUAGAUAUUUUGAAAAUGACAAAGAAAGAGAAACUAUCCAAAAUAUGAUAAAGAAAACCCUGACCUGGAACCUUCUAGAAGGUUCCCAAAACUGGGUUCGGUUGAAUGAACAACGUCUUACAUGGGCCAGCCUAUUCCAUCUUACCUUUGUUCGCUCGACUCCUAUGCGAGACAAUGACUACUUGAAGCAAUAAGUGUCCAUAGGGUCUUUCGCAACACCGCCGCUACUACGAUGAGUCGAUGAUGGUCACCGCGAAGAUCAAAGCUAUGUUUGGGCUUUUGCAGUUGCCACCAACUUGAAUAGUGUAAUGCCGCGAGAGUAGUUCUUUGUUCUCCGCUUUGCGGCUAUUUAUCUAAAACCUCUUCCUUAAUCAAUGAAAAUGGAAAAAAAAAUGCCUUGUUUCAAAAGAAAAAGAAAAGACAGCGUCCUUAGGGUUUUCCUAGACGGAUAACGUGUCCCACCCAGCAUGUCCGGUUUUGGACCAUGGUUGUCAUUUUCAUUGAUCUUUGGUUCCCAACCUCA